UUUCCGCGUCAGCGGGAAAGGAAAGUCCGGACAGCGCAGGGCAAUCCACCGGUGAACAGCCGGGCUCCCUUGAGCAGGAGACAGACAGUGCCACAGAGAAUGACAGCCCGCGUCCGCGAGGGCGGGGGUGAUGGUGAAAACGUGGGGUAAGAGCCCACGCGCCGUUUGCAGUAAUGCAGGGGCGGGGUAAACCUUGGAUGCUGAAAUGCCACGUAUAUGUGCCUUGAAGGGCGGCCCGCCCGAGUUUUCCCGGCAACGGGGAAC
RNAcentral lists this RNase P RNA (264 nucleotides) under Dinghuibacter silviterrae. Its description in RNAcentral is "Bacterial RNase P class A". It matches the Rfam family "Bacterial RNase P class A", at positions 20 to 303 of the family's 367-position model. From Rfam's summary of the family: Ribonuclease P (RNase P) is a ubiquitous endoribonuclease, found in archaea, bacteria and eukarya as well as chloroplasts and mitochondria. Its best characterised activity is the generation of mature 5'-ends of tRNAs by cleaving the 5'-leader elements of precursor-tRNAs. The record is from RNAcentral. Lineage: Bacteria; Pseudomonadati; Bacteroidota; Chitinophagia; Chitinophagales; Chitinophagaceae.